Caerostris darwini is the source of this 83-nucleotide non-coding RNA. The record is from the annotation of a GenBank genome assembly. NCBI's taxonomy places the organism in Eukaryota, Metazoa, Arthropoda, Arachnida, Araneae, Araneidae.
ACCAUGCUGAAUAUACCGGUUCUCGUCAGAUCACCGAAGUCAAGCGUCAUUGGGCGCGGCCAGUACUUGGGUGGGUGACCGCC